This 1212-nucleotide ribosomal RNA is filed under the name metagenome. RNAcentral's name for it is "bacterial SSU rRNA". It matches the Rfam family "Bacterial small subunit ribosomal RNA", at positions 198 to 1388 of the family's 1533-position model. The record is from RNAcentral.
AGAUCAAAGGUGGCCUCUGCUUGCAAGCUACCGCUUGAGGAUGAUCCCGCGUCCCAUUAGCUUGUUGGUGGGGUAACGGCCCACCAAGGCGACGAUGGGUAGCUGGUCUGAGAGGAUGGUCAGCCACACUGGGACUGAGAUACGGCCCAGACUCCUACGGGAGGCAGCAGUCGAGAGGCUUCGGCAAUGGGGGAAACCCUGACCGAGCGACGCCGCGUGGGCGAUGAAGGCCGUAAGGUUGUAAAGCCCUGUCAAGAGGGAAGAAAUGCAGGUGUUCAAACAGGCCAUCUGUUUGACGGUACCUCUAGAGGAAGCUCCGGCUAACUCCGUGCCAGCAGCCGCGGUAAUACGGGGGGAGCGAACGUUGUUCGGAAUUACUGGGCGUAAAGGGCGCGUAGGCGGCAUGGUUAGUGGAAUGUGAAAUGCCCUGGCUCAACCAGGGAACUGCAUUCCAUACUGCCAAGCUUGAGUACAGGAGAGGAUGGGGGAAUUCCCGGUGUAGCGGUGGAAUGCAUUGAUAUCGGGAGGAACACCAGUGGCGAAGGCGCCCAUCUGGCCUGAUACUGACGCUCAGGCGCGAAAGCUAGGGGAGCAAACAGGAUUAGAUACCCUGGUAGUCCUAGCCGUAAACGGUGAGCACUAGGUGUAGGAGGCAUCGACCCCUCCUGUGCCGCAGCUAACGCAUUAAGUGCUCCGCCUGGGGAGUACGACCGCAAGGUUGAAACUCAAAGGAAUUGACGGGGCCCCGCACAAGCGGUGGAGCAUGUGGUUUAAUUCGAUGCAACGCGAAGAACCUUACCCAGGUUUGACAUGCACCGGACAGGUGUGGAAACACACCCUCCCUUCGGGGUCGGUGUACAGGUGCUGCAUGGCUGUCGUCAGCUCGUGUCGUGAGAUGUUGGGUUAAGUCCCGCAACGAGCGCAACCCUUGUCCUUAGUUGCCAGCGGAUAGUGCCGCGCACUCUAGGGAGACUGCCGUCGACAAGACGGAGGAAGGUGGGGAUGACGUCAAGUCCUCAUGGUCCUUAUACCUGGGGCUACACACGUGCUACAAUGGUCGGUACAGAGGGUUGCAAUACCGCGAGGUGGAGCUAAUCCCAAAAAGCCGGCCUCAGUUCGGAUUGUAGUCUGCAACUCGACUGCAUGAAGGCGGAAUCGCUAGUAAUCGCUGAUCAGCAGGCAGCGGUGAAUAUGUUCCCGGGGCUUGUACAC